UGGUGGAUGUGGGGAAUAGCAUAGCCGCGGGAAAAGUUGAACGGUGGGUUUAUUUUUAAAGUUCCAGGAGCAUACGCUUAUAGAUGACGUAGAUCACAUUUUUCGUCACAAACUCGUUUUCGAAUUUUUGUUUUUGACUGGUCAGAAGUGUUUCGUUUUCCCGUUGCAAAAUUACCGAUAAAUUACUUCUCAAAGGCAUCGCUUCAAAAUCAUUAGAGGAAAUAUUCAUCGGAAGAUCACCCUCUUGGGGCUGGGAUGUGCAGAAGAUCUACUGGCAUGUUACAGAAUGAAGUACACCCUGCCAAAGAGCCUAUCUGCAGCAGUCCAGAAGCUAAUUCCUGGGAUCUUGCAGAAGAAUCCAUACGAUCGCUUCAUUUCAGGAGAGAUCCUGCAACAUGAGUUCCUCACUAAGCUGAAACAUUCCCAGCCGCUGCCAUCGGACUUCACACCUAAUAAACUGCCACCAGCUGUGUGAUGGUGCUACACUUCAAGCUUUCAAACUCCAAAAAAGAUCCAAAAAUGAUCCCCUUCAACACAAACCCCAAGCAAUCCUGCAUCUCUCAGCUCAUCUGGCUUAGAUGCUUGACCUGGCAUUUCCAUAGUUUCUUGCAGUUGAUAAGCCUUUAUGUGGGGAGCUACACAUAGUUCGGGAGGUCAGUAGAAAGCCCCUGAGCUCUCAGUCAGAGGAGUCAGUGGAAGUCCCUUCUCUCAGUGUUUAGCUGAAUGCAAACAAUCCACUGACCGUCCAAGCAGAGGAGAAGUCAAGGAAAUUAAGUGAAGUCAUUAUUAAUCAGGUUACCGAUAGACCAUUGAUCACCUGGGAACUGGACAGGGCAAGGAAGUCUAGUUCACCCUGUGUUUGCUGGGUCAACAACUGCAAAGCUACCAUCUGGGUGGCAGAGGAUGGAUCAAAAUGUGCUGUUGGUGACCCAACAAACUCGUGAUGAACUGGAUUUCCUUGACCGACGCUCUGUCCAGGUCAGUGUGUUUGUUGGGUGACUAAUGACCAGAGUAUGAGUCAUAGAAGUCCCGUCCCUUUGGAAGCACCAUGCUGUGUAGUGCUUAAGGUGAGCCUAUUGCUUACAUUGUAUAGCUUUCGCAAGGAUGUAGUGAAAGUUAAUGUAGUCCACUUUGGACUUUGGUGAGCCACGUACUUGAUUAAAUGGGACCUAUGUGCAUUUGCUGUGACAUCUGACAGUGUAGACUGGCUGUGCUGAUCUACUGGGGGCCACAUCAGCGAACGCCUGAGUGCCCCCCCCCCCAGCUCCUUGUUUUCCACACAGGAGCAUUUUUUCCCCUUUCUAAAUAAAGGUCACGUGUUGCAAGCACUGAAGUUCACUGACUAAUGGCAUCAAGGGACAUCGCAAUUUGUGCAACCAUUCAGUUUUAAUUUCUGCAAUAAAAUCUUUUAAGUUUCAGUUAACUUGAUUUUGAGUAUAAGUACCAAAAAAUAGUUGGUUGUGUGUUUUGUGAAUGCCUGUGAUCUCGAG
Molecule: long non-coding RNA, 1490 nt
Organism: Paramormyrops kingsleyae
Lineage: Eukaryota; Metazoa; Chordata; Actinopteri; Osteoglossiformes; Mormyridae
Source: RefSeq, a predicted model, not a curated record